This 844-nucleotide ribosomal RNA is filed under the name Leptosphaerulina sp. YPZ-2018a. Its description in RNAcentral is "partial 28S ribosomal RNA". It matches the Rfam family "Eukaryotic large subunit ribosomal RNA", at positions 99 to 961 of the family's 3401-position model. Lineage: Eukaryota; Fungi; Ascomycota; Dothideomycetes; Pleosporales; Didymellaceae. The record is from RNAcentral.
CGGCAACAGCUCAAAUUUGAAAUCUGGCGUCUUUGGCGUCCGAGUUGUAAUUUGCAGAGGGCGCUUUGGCAUUGGCAGCGGUCCAAGUUCCUUGGAACAGGACGUCACAGAGGGUGAGAAUCCCGUACGUGGUCGCUAGCCUUUACCGUGUAAAGCCCCUUCGACGAGUCGAGUUGUUUGGGAAUGCAGCUCUAAAUGGGAGGUAAAUUUCUUCUAAAGCUAAAUACUGGCCAGAGACCGAUAGCGCACAAGUAGAGUGAUCGAAAGAUGAAAAGCACUUUGGAAAGAGAGUUAAAAAGCACGUGAAAUUGUUGAAAGGGAAGCGCUUGCAGCCAGACUUGCCUGUAGUUGCUCAUCCGGGUUUCUACCCGGUGCACUCUUCUAUAGGCAGGCCAGCAUCAGUUUGGGCGGUUGGAUAAAGGUCUCUGUCAUGUACCUCCUUUCGGGGAGAACUUAUAGGGGAGACGACAUGCAACCAGCCUGGACUGAGGUCCGCGCAUCUGCUAGGAUGCUGGCGUAAUGGCUGUAAGCGGCCCGUCUUGAAACACGGACCAAGGAGUCUAACAUCUAUGCGAGUGUUUGGGUGUCAAGCCCGAGCGCGUAAUGAAAGUGAACGGAGGUGGGAACCUUUCGGGGUGCACCAUCGACCGAUCCUGAUGUCUUCGGAUGGAUUUGAGUAAGAGCAUAGCUGUUGGGACCCGAAAGAUGGUGAACUAUGCUUGAAUAGGGUGAAGCCAGAGGAAACUCUGGUGGAGGCUCGCAGCGGUUCUGACGUGCAAAUCGAUCGUCAAAUUUGGGCAUAGGGGCGAAAGACUAAUCGAACUAUCUAGUAGCUGGUUCCUGC